RNAcentral lists this ribosomal RNA (481 nucleotides) under uncultured archaeon. RNAcentral's name for it is "bacterial SSU rRNA". It matches the Rfam family "Archaeal small subunit ribosomal RNA", at positions 378 to 859 of the family's 1478-position model. The record is from RNAcentral.
ACAUCGAGUGAUACUCAUCUUGGGUGUCUGUCCUCCCGUCUAAAAAACGGGAGUUAGCAAGGGCCGGGCAAGACCGGUGCCAGCCGCCGCGGUAAUACCGGCGGCUCGAGUGGUGGCCGAUAUUAUUGAGUCUAAAGGGUCCGUAGCCGGCUUUGCAAGUCUUUUGGGAAAUCCAGCGGCUUAACCGUUGGUCGUCCGGGAGAUACUACAUUGCUUGGGACUGGGAGAGGUAGGAGGUACUCAGGGGGUAGGAGUGAAAUCCUGUAAUCCUUUGGGGACCACCGGUGGCGAAGGCGUCCUACCAGAACAGGUCCGACGGUGAGGGACGAAAGCUAGGGGCACGAACCGGAUUAGAUACCCGGGUAGUCCUAGCCGUAAACGAUGCUCGCUAGGUGUCACAACAAUCGUGAAUUGUUGUGGUGCCGUAGGGAAGCCGUGAAGCGAGCCACUUGGGAAGUACGACCGCAAGGUUGAAACUUAA